This is a non-coding RNA of Microcebus murinus (gray mouse lemur), 2142 nucleotides long. The record is from RefSeq and is a predicted model, not a curated record. NCBI's taxonomy places the organism in Eukaryota, Metazoa, Chordata, Mammalia, Primates, Cheirogaleidae.
CCACUCGCCGCCUGUCCGCCGCUCCACGCCUCGUGCCUGCGCACUGGAGCAGGAGAGGCGCGCCCGAGCGCCCUGGACUCCCGACUCCUUUUUUGGGGCACCGUGGUGGAAAUGCAUCCCCUCUGGGUGCGUACUCCUGCCCCCUCCCUUCCGAGGAGGGAUUUGGCGUGCCCUACCCACAAAUACCUCUGACCCUACUAGAGAAACAUUUUUUCCGUGUCAAGACUGUUGACUAGAGUGGCAAAAUCUGGCUUAAAAGUUCUUCCCAAAUCCCUCUUGGGGGUGUGGAGAGUGUAGAUCGAUAGGCUAUUCCCUUUCCUGCCUCAGUUUCCCCUGUAUAAUAAUGAUCAAAGUCUCUCUGGGGGCCCUGCUGGGUCAGACUCCAUUGAUUGAGCUGGUCCUUUCCCAGCCGCCCACUCUUGCAAUGAUAGCUGCCACCCGCCCCCAUCCAGUGAGCUCCUGAGGGCGCCAUCUUCUCUCCUCCUCCUCCUCACCCAGCUAGCGUGUGUCUUCAGCCCCCAAUCUUAGCAAUGGGGGUGGUGAAGGGGUGGGAUAUGGGCGGUCACCCCUUCAACCAUGGGUCUGUCAGUUACCGAUCACGCCACCUCCGUCCCAAGUCUCUCCUCUUUGAGCCUUAAGGAUCCUUGACGCCCUGGCCGGGCAGGCUGCCCACUUUGGGCACUGCAAGGGGUGGGGGAUAGGGUGGAAUAGGGGUGUUGGCUUCCAACUCCACAGGGACACCAGGGGUGGUGAGAUAGAGUGAAGGGGGAAGUGGAAUUGACAGUUGGGCCUCCAAACGCCCAGGACGCCUUCGUGGGCCGACGCGUUUGUCAGGAGAGAGAACCGCGUCCUCCUCUCCCAGGAGGGCGCUGCCCCCAGGACGCUGAAUGCGGCUGGAGGGGGUAGGGGCACCGGCCAAUGCGGGAGCGGGAGGGCGCAGAAAGCCACGUUCCAACCCCCGGAGGGUGGGUCCCGGCUUCUCUGCCUCAGACCUGCGGGCGGGACGCGGAAGGGGCAGGCCAGGAACCCGGCGGGGACAGAAUGGUGCCUUGCUGAAUAACACCUGAAUGAAGAAAUAUAGGACACUGUGCUGGGAACAUAGGGUGGAACGUGGUAGCAGUUGGAGGGGUGUUCAAGUGUGUCAGUGCCCUGCAUCAGCCCUGUUUGUCUACUGCCAGGUCUCAGUCUGCUUCAGACACCCAGAUGUGAGAACCGCUUGUCAGGAAAGGGUGUUGGCUUUUCCCCAUGCCAGGAAUGAGGGACACACCGUCCCAGCUGUCCAGCCGACCCAGUGGGUCUUUUGUGGUUUUACCUCAGCCGGCUUCUGGACACAUUAGCCAGGAAUCCUCCAGUCACAAGGAUAGAAACUCAGCUCAAGGAGAAAGGACACAGAAGCAGACACACAGAGGAGAAGGCCACAGGAAGACCCGGGCAGAGACUGGAGUGAAGCUGCCACAACCUGAAGACCUCUAGGCACCACCAGAAGCUGGAAGAGAAGGAAGGACUCUCCCCUGGGGUCUGCAGGAGUGUGGCUCUACUGGCACCUUGACUGCAAACUCCGGUCUGCAGAACUGUGAGAGAAGAAAUUCCUGUUGCUUUAAGCCACAGAGUUUGUGAUAAUUUGUUCUGGCAGCCUUAGGAAACGAAUGCACCUUUCCUUGCAUUUGACCAGAGGUUCGCCUGGGCUCCCUCUCCCUGUAAAGUUCUAUCCGCACGUUCAGUUUCUCUCUCUUCCCAGUGGAGGCUGCUAUCGCUCAGGGAAAUUUACCUUGGUGUUAAGUGGAAACAAAUAUGAUAAUUUAGUUAAAAAGUCCUUUCCUUUGAGCCAUUGAAAUCUUUCCCUCACACAACUGCAUUCAAAAUGAGGCCUUCUUGGGGGAGCGUGGCCUGCAGAUUUGUGACACCCGCUUGGCCCCCUGGCUGAGCCAGCCCCUGUACAGAAGGCACCUCUGCUGUGGUGCUGAUUUCAGCACUGCAAUGUCAUGAGAGCACUUUUUUUUUGCUGUUAUUUUUGUUUUUUUGAGAUAGAGUCUCCCUCUGUCACUCCGGCUAGAGUGCAUACAUCAUAGAAUGUAUUUCAUCAUAGCUCACUGCAUCCUCAAACUCCUGGGCUCAAGCAAUCCUCCUGCCUCAGCCUCUGGA